CCUCUCUGAACCCUUCCCUGUCUCCAUUUUGCUGAAGAGAAAAUGGCGGCUCAGGGCGUGGCGGGCUCCUCGGCGCCACAGGUGGCUCUCUGAAGCAAGAUGCAUAAACAGUAGCACAAGUUGCCUUGUGUGCAGGUCACAAGCAGGGAGCUGGAUAGGAAGUGGAGCAGCCAGGAUAUGAACCAGCACCCAUUUGGGAUCCCAGCAUGUGCAAGG
Long non-coding RNA from Ochotona princeps (American pika), 216 nucleotides. RefSeq lists it as uncharacterized. The record is from RefSeq and is a predicted model, not a curated record. The transcript is spliced from 3 exons. Lineage: Eukaryota; Metazoa; Chordata; Mammalia; Lagomorpha; Ochotonidae.